This 32-nucleotide non-coding RNA is filed under the name unclassified sequences. The record is from RNAcentral.
CUAUGGACUUAUUUUGGUUCAUGGCAAAGGAG